UUAACCUCUAGCUUUGAUUUGGUGAGAUAGUUGCGUGGAGAUUUCUGUAAGGGAAUUAGGUUAGUUAUUUCUGCAGGUUGCUUUGACAGUUCUGUAAGAGAUUUAUUUUAGUAAUUUUUCAUAUCUGCAAGGAUGGGCUGAGUUGUAUAUUUUAUGAACUUAAACUAAGUCUAUGGUAUGAAUUUAAUCGAAGUCCUAAUUAGUCUACUAUUCAAAUAAAAGAGGAGGUUUUUGAAUUAUGCUCAAAUUAGGGACUUGGUUUUUGAAUGGAUAAAUUUUAUCAAUUGUGCUUUUAGUUGUGUGAUGUAAUCUAAUUCUAUGAAGUAUGUUGGUUCAUGAUGGGAUUGUGCUCUAAACUCUGUUGGUGUGAGGGUAGUGAUUUUAUUUGAUUUACGCAACUCUCUACAAAAAAAUUCCAUUGUAAAUCAGAUCCAACCGAUUCUUUGUUUUUUACCUUCAUUAAUUGUACCAAACUCUUUAACUCUAAUGUCAAAACAAUCAAAGUCAAACCUUUUUCUUUUAUGCCCUACAUCACUUAUCAUGGCAAAUUUAACCAAUUGAUUCAAAUGAGAGAGCUUUGGAUAUUGCACAAAAGUCAUAGCUCAUAGGUCCAGAUCCUACAUAAGCUAUUUAAAAUUUUUUAAAUGUCUAUCAGUAUCUAAAUGAUAUGGAAAGAAAUUAAGCAAGUGAAUUAUCAAAUCACAUACAAUUAGAAGAUAGCAUCUUUGUUAUUAUCUUGUGCCUUUGAAUAUACCCAAUUACAUCAUCAACAAUGCUGUUUUCUUUCAAAUUUUCAUAGUUUUGCGGACAUAUGUAAUGCAGAAUAAGAAGCUUAGAAUUUUAUUUAGGA
RNAcentral lists this unclassified non-coding RNA (850 nucleotides) under Hevea brasiliensis (rubber tree). Lineage: Eukaryota; Viridiplantae; Streptophyta; Magnoliopsida; Malpighiales; Euphorbiaceae. The record is from RNAcentral.